AACGAACGCUGGCGGCAUGCCUAACACAUGCAAGUCGAACGAAGCCUUCGGGCUUAGUGGCGCACGGGUGCGUAACGCGUGGGAAUCUGCCCUUGGGUUCGGAAUAACAGUUAGAAAUGACUGCUAAUACCGGAUGAUGUCUUCGGACCAAAGAUUUAUCGCCCAAGGAUGAGCCCGCGUAGGAUUAGGUAGUUGGUGGGGUAAAGGCCUACCAAGCCGACGAUCCUUAGCUGGUCUGAGAGGAUGACCAGCCACACUGGAACUGAGACACGGUCCAGACUCCUACGGGAGGCAGCAGUGGGGAAUAUUGCACAAUGGGGGAAACCCUGAUGCAGCCAUGCCGCGUGUGUGAAGAAGGCC
This 360-nucleotide ribosomal RNA is filed under the name uncultured bacterium. RNAcentral describes it as "bacterial SSU rRNA". It matches the Rfam family "Bacterial small subunit ribosomal RNA", at positions 29 to 416 of the family's 1533-position model. The record is from RNAcentral.